UACGUAGGGUGCAAGCGUUGUCCGGAAUUAUUGGGCGUAAAGAGCUCGUAGGCGGCCAACUAAGUCGGACGUGAAAUCCCUCGGCUUAACCGGGGAACUGCGUCCGAUACUGGAUGGCUAGAGUUCGGGAGAGGGAUGCGGAAUUCCAGGUGUAGCGGUGAAAUGCGUAGAUAUCUGGAGGAACACCGGUGGCGAAGGCGGCAUCCUGGACCGACACUGACGCUGAGGAGCGAAAGCCAGGGGAGCAAACGGG
This 253-nucleotide ribosomal RNA is filed under the name uncultured bacterium. RNAcentral describes it as "partial 16S ribosomal RNA". It matches the Rfam family "Bacterial small subunit ribosomal RNA", at positions 524 to 776 of the family's 1533-position model. The record is from RNAcentral.